This 1214-nucleotide long non-coding RNA is filed under the name Anser brachyrhynchus (Pink-footed goose). RNAcentral describes it as "lncRNA (ENSABRG00000014664.1)". The record is from RNAcentral. Lineage: Eukaryota; Metazoa; Chordata; Aves; Anseriformes; Anatidae.
UUGCAGGAGCAGGGUGCGGCAGGCAGGGCUGAGGCGUUUGAUCUGAGAUCAGAGGUGGGGAAGGAAGCAAGGCCUCGCUUCAGUUCCCUUGCCAGCUGGGGUGGUUCAUCCCUGCUCGCACCCGCAGCGAUGAAAAUCGGUAUUUACAUAACACUGGUGGUUCACCUUGGAAGCACUCUGAUGGCAUGAGCGAGGCCUGUUCUGAAUGAAGUCGAGGGACACCUUGUCUGCCAGAGAGCUUUUCACCAUGGAGAUCUCUAGGUGCUGCUACCAUAAUCCUCAGAGGUUCAAUCCAGUUCUCUUUUAGAGGUCUGUCUGUAAAUCUGGGAAUGCAAAAGAGGUAAGUACAUUCCCCAUAGACCUAACAGCUUCCAGAUUGCAAGUCUAACAGUUUCAGUUCCCUCUAAUUUACAAAUGACUGUGCUUUGAAAUGUCAAAUUUCAGAAACAUUCAAGCAAAAAAAUAUAUGCCUAGGUAAGAUUUAGAAACAAGCAGCAAGCGCUUGUGCCCUUAUUGAUCGCAGACUUUCCCAUUCUGCACCUCCGAACUAAAUCAGUAAAAACUUUUUUUAACAAGACCAAAAUGAGAAGGUUCCCACGUCAAAACAGAACUAUCAAGACAAGUGGGUUUUGCAGCACAGUCCCAGCCAGCAGGCUGAUUUAAUUGAGGCUGGUUUAAAGAACUGAUAGUGGGAAGGAUUUUUCAUCAUGACACAAGUCUUUUUGCUGGUAUAUCUUAGGAAAAUGAUUCAUUAGGAUUCAGCACCAGCUAUUAGCUAGUUAGUAUGCUUAUUUAAUUAUCAUUAAAAAGGAGAGAGAGAGUAGGAGCGUAAUUGUGCAGCAAGCUCUUGCUAAGGGAGCAUCAGGAACCCACUAGUCACCCACCCUCCCCACUUGUUCUGGGCAGGCAGGUAAGCUCCAUCCUAGCUUUUUGGUGGAAGUGGUAAUUUCUACCAGCCUUGACUGGGUGUGGAUGGAGACAGCGCUCUCCCAGUUCUUCCAAUGCCCAUCCUCAGAAGAAAGAGCAUCAGAGAAGUAGUCCUCCACCAACCGAGCCAGUUACCUAAGCAAGAGCAAGGAAGCGGUAAGGGAAAGAGAUAAGAGAAUGGUUCACUUAUAUGAGUAUUUUAUCUCCAGUAAUGAUGUGCACAUUGAAAGAAUUUGCACAUAUGCUUUAUAGGUAGGAUAUAGAAGUAAAGGGGAAUUUAUUUUUUC